This 253-nucleotide ribosomal RNA is filed under the name uncultured bacterium. RNAcentral describes it as "partial 16S ribosomal RNA". It matches the Rfam family "Bacterial small subunit ribosomal RNA", at positions 524 to 776 of the family's 1533-position model. The record is from RNAcentral.
UACGUAGGGCGCAAGCGUUAUCCGGAAUUAUUGGGCGUAAAGAGCUCGUAGGCGGUUUGUCGCGUCUGCCGUGAAAGUCCGGGGCUCAACUCCGGAUCUGCGGUGGGUACGGGCAGACUAGAGUGAUGUAGGGGAGACUGGAAUUCCUGGUGUAGCGGUGAAAUGCGCAGAUAUCAGGAGGAGCACCAAUGGCGAAGGCAGAUCUCUGGGCCGUAACUGACGCUGAGGAGCGAAAGCAUGGGGAGCGAACAGG